Long non-coding RNA from Oncorhynchus kisutch (coho salmon), 1270 nucleotides. RefSeq lists it as uncharacterized. The record is from RefSeq and is a predicted model, not a curated record. The transcript has 3 exons. Lineage: Eukaryota; Metazoa; Chordata; Actinopteri; Salmoniformes; Salmonidae.
CCGAAGCCCGCGAACAGGAAUAUUCCAAGUUCAGACAGAAGGGGGGAGUCAGAUCGCUAUGAUCGCCAGGAACUUUACUUUUGGUGUCUAAUUUUUAUUGUUGCGCUACUUGUGCCGCCUGUUGAUGUUAAGUAGGCAGCUACAGUGGCUGAAUGAUAACAUCUUCGGGUUUUAUUUAAUGAAAUGUAUUUUAUUUCAUCGGGGUGCCUACUUCACCUACUAACACCCUAGUACUAUCCGUAGCUCCCGUUCUCCUCAGCCCGAGAAAACACAGAGUGAAGGAUCAGCAUAAAAGCCAAGAAGACUGCCGUGGUGUCGUUCUUCAUUUCUUGGAUCUCCUGUGGUACAUAUAGUAGCUGGGUGAACAGGCCAUGGCUCGGGUGGCUGAGGUCCUUCCUUCCUGUGACACCGAGCGCUGUGGAUGCCUGGAGGGCAGGCACUGUACCCUGGUGAUGUGUUCGGCUGAGCGCACCACCCUCUGGAGAGCCCUGCGGUUGCGGACGGUGCAGUUGCCAUACCAGGCGGAGAUACAGCCUGACAGGAUGCUCUCAGUGGUGCAUCUAGAUGUUUAUGGGGGUCUUAAGGGCCAAGCUGAAUUUCUUUUUCAGGUUGUCGAGGAACAUGAAGCUUUUCACCCUCUCCCCUGUGGCCCUGUCAAUGUGGAUGGAGGCGUGCCCCCUCUGCUGUCUCCUGAAGUCCACGAUCAGCGCCUUCAUUUUGUUGACAUUGUGGGAGAGGUUAUUUUUCUGGCACCACUCCGCCAGGGCCCUCACCUCCUCCAUGUAGGCUGUCUCGUCAUUUUUGUUGUUGGUAAUCAGGCCUAUCACUGUUAUGUCAUUGCAAACUUGAUGAUUGAGUUGGAGACGUGCGUGGCCAUUCAGUCAUGGAUAAACAGGGAGUACAGGAGGGGGCUGAGCACGUACCCUUGUGGGGCCCUCAUGUUGAGGAUCAGUCUCGGAUCAAUUCCAUCCUAAAUCGUGAAGUUCAGUUUAGUCAGCUAUUCCUACCCUAAACACUAACCUCUUACCCUAACUAUAACCCUUACAAGCUCCCAGCCAUCCAGGACAUAUAUGCCAGGUGGUGUCUGAGAAAGACACAAAACAUUGCCAAAAACUCAAGCCACUCGAGACAUGGACUGUUCUCCAUGCUCCCGUCCAUCUGGCGAUACUGUGCAUCAAGGAUAAGACCAACAGACUCCUAAACAGCUAACUAUAUGCUGACUCUAUGCUCUUCCACAGGUCUCUACCUACUCAGACACACACACCUUCAC